GUCUUUAGGUUCAUCAAGUCAGCGAGCUGAUUCAGUUAACCCGAUGAGAUUUUAAGCUGAGUCAUCAGGUUCAGGAAUAAAAAGCCUCAAUUUGGUGGGCUAUGUUGGAAUUCACAGCUCAUGAUUCAGAGAUUUCAUUCUAAAGUCGGAGCUUCUUCGAGUCAUUAUAUCACUUUGUGCUAACCAAUCUUUG
Long non-coding RNA from Magnolia sinica, 193 nucleotides. RefSeq lists it as uncharacterized. The record is from RefSeq and is a predicted model, not a curated record. NCBI's taxonomy places the organism in Eukaryota, Viridiplantae, Streptophyta, Magnoliopsida, Magnoliales, Magnoliaceae. The transcript has 3 exons.